This 465-nucleotide ribosomal RNA is filed under the name Vreelandella stevensii. RNAcentral describes it as "partial 16S ribosomal RNA". It matches the Rfam family "Bacterial small subunit ribosomal RNA", at positions 338 to 795 of the family's 1533-position model. Lineage: Bacteria; Pseudomonadati; Pseudomonadota; Gammaproteobacteria; Oceanospirillales; Halomonadaceae. The record is from RNAcentral.
CCUACGGGUGGCUGCAGUGGGGAAUAUUGGACAAUGGGCGAAAGCCUGAUCCAGCCAUGCCGCGUGUGUGAAGAAGGCCUUCGGGUUGUAAAGCACUUUCAGUGGGGAAGAAAGCCUUGGGGCUAAUACCCUCGAGGAAGGACAUCACCCACAGAAGAAGCACCGGCUAACUCCGUGCCAGCAGCCGCGGUAAUACGGAGGGUGCGAGCGUUAAUCGGAAUUACUGGGCGUAAAGCGCGCGUAGGCGGUCUGAUAAGCCGGUUGUGAAAGCCCCGGGCUCAACCUGGGAACGGCAUCCGGAACUGUCAGGAUAGAGUGCAGGAGAGGAAGGUAGAAUUCCCGGUGUAGCGGUGAAAUGCGUAGAGAUCGGGAGGAAUACCAGUGGCGAAGGCGGCCUUCUGGACUGACACUGACGCUGAGGUGCGAAAGCGUGGGUAGCAAACAGGAUUAGAUACCCCUGUAGUC